RNAcentral lists this ribosomal RNA (463 nucleotides) under uncultured bacterium. RNAcentral's name for it is "bacterial SSU rRNA". It matches the Rfam family "Bacterial small subunit ribosomal RNA", at positions 338 to 793 of the family's 1533-position model. The record is from RNAcentral.
CCUACGGGCGGCACCAGUGGGGAAUAUUACACAAUGGGCGCAAGCCUGAUGCAGCCAUGCCGCGUGUAUGAAGAAGGCCUUCGGGUUGUAAAGUACUUUCAGCGGGGAGGAAGGCGAUAAGGUUAAUAACCUUGUCGAUUGACGUUACCCGCAGAAGAAGCACCGGCUAACUCCGUGCCAGCAGCCGCGGUAAUACGGAGGGUGCAAGCGUUAAUCGGAAUUACUGGGCGUAAAGCGCACGCAGGCGGUUGAUUGAGUCAGAUGUGAAAUCCCCGGGCUUAACCCGGGAAUUGCAUCUGAUACUGGUCAGCUAGAGUCUUGUAGAGGGGGGUAGAAUUCCAUGUGUAGCGGUGAAAUGCGUAGAGAUGUGGAGGAAUACCGGUGGCGAAGGCGGCCCCCUGGACAAAGACUGACGCUCAGGUGCGAAAGCGUGGGGAGCAAACAGGAUUAGAUACCCCAGUAG